RNAcentral lists this transfer RNA (82 nucleotides) under Candidatus Tremblayella phenacoccinincola. RNAcentral describes it as "Candidatus Tremblaya phenacola tRNA". It matches the Rfam family "tRNA". From Rfam's summary of the family: Transfer RNA (tRNA) molecules are approximately 80 nucleotides in length. Their secondary structure includes four short double-helical elements and three loops (D, anti-codon, and T loops). Further hydrogen bonds mediate the characteristic L-shaped molecular structure. tRNAs have two regions of fundamental functional importance: the anti-codon, which is responsible for specific mRNA codon recognition, and the 3' end, to which the tRNAs corresponding amino acid is attached (by aminoacyl-tRNA synthetases). tRNAs cope with the degeneracy of the genetic code in two manners: having more than one tRNA (with a specific anti-codon) for a particular amino acid; and 'wobble' base-pairing, i.e. permitting non-standard base-pairing at the 3rd anti-codon position. The record is from Rfam by way of RNAcentral. Lineage: Bacteria; Pseudomonadati; Pseudomonadota; Betaproteobacteria.
GCGAAGGUGGCGAAACUGGUAAACGCACUAGUCUCAGAAGCUAGUAUCUUAAUCUAUAAGGGUUCGAGUCCCUUUCUUCGCA